Molecule: long non-coding RNA, 984 nt
Organism: Adelges cooleyi (spruce gall adelgid)
Lineage: Eukaryota; Metazoa; Arthropoda; Insecta; Hemiptera; Adelgidae
Exons: 4
Source: RefSeq, a predicted model, not a curated record
UGUUUGCAUUGUCCUGCAGUUCGCGUUAAAAAAACGUACAUUAAAUACAAAAUUUGUUUUUGUUAGCAUUUGAGAUUUUUAUUUUGUAAUCGCUCCUUUCUGUGAAUUAUAACUAGUUCAAUUAGAUUUAGCGCCAUAGAAACAAUUUGUUUUCAUUAUUGUUGCUACGGGUCCGAUUCGUGAGAAUCUCUAAAUAUUAGUCAUAAUAACUUAGUUGAAGUUUAUGAUAAAUACCUAACGUAUUGCGUCGUGUUUCGUUAUUGAAUUACAAUUGAGUUUUUUGUCUUGCCUGUUAAUAAUUUAUUAUAAGUUUCAAGCAGCAGCCGUGAACAGCGGUUUACAGUUCUACGUUAUAGUUUGGAAGCGGUAUAAAAUGUUAAAAAUUAAACUUGAAAAUGAUGAAACAGAACAACACUCCUAUGAAGUCAUUGCACCCAAACCAUUAGAUGUGCAGUUCAAAAACAAUGAAAUUACUACAACAGAGGAGUAUUUGAUAAAGAAUGAAGUCGACAAUACUUAUGUCUGCAAUAACGACGAUUUGAAUGUCAAAUUUGAAAAAGAAUGCUUCAAUGACUGUGUUUUCGAAAAUCAGAUAUUGAAAUCGUAAGGCAUGAACUGUUUGAUGCUGAAAAAGAGCUAACAACGUUGUAUGACUGCAAUUACUGCCAAAAAUCUUUUAAGACAAAACGACGAAUUAAAAACCACAUUUUAAGUAUUCAUUAUCCGUGUAACGAGAUCGACACUUCAAAUUGUACAAACUCUAUUGAUAACUAUACUCGAAACAAAGAUGUCCUAUUUAAUUGUGGUAUUUGUUUAAUAAGUUUUUCAUCAAAAUCAAACCUGAAAAGACAUUGGCGGAUUCAUACGGACGAAAAGGCUUUUAAAUGCAAUGUGUAUGAAAAAACAUUUGGACGAAAAGAACACCUCAAAACUCAUAAAAGGACACAUACUGGCGAGAAACCUUUUAAAUGCAAUGUGUGUGCA